GAUGAACGCUGGCGGCGUGCCUAAUACAUGCAAGUCGAGCGAACAGACGAGGAGCUUGCUCCUCUGACGUUAGCGGCGGACGGGUGAGUAACACGUGGAUAACCUACCUAUAAGACUGGGAUAACUUCGGGAAACCGGAGCUAAUACCGGAUAAUAUAUUGAACCGCAUGGUUCAAUAGUGAAAGACGGUUUUGCUGUCACUUAUAGAUGGAUCCGCGCCGCAUUAGCUAGUUGGUAAGGUAACGGCUUACCAAGGCAACGAUGCGUAGCCGACCUGAGAGGGUGAUCGGCCACACUGGAACUGAGACACGGUCCAGACUCCUACGGGAGGCAGAGGUAGGGAAUCUUCCGCAAUGGGCGAAAGCCUGACGGAGCAACGCCGCGGGAGUGAUGAAGGUCUUCGGAUCGUAAAACUCUGUUAUUAGGGAAGAACAAAUGUGUAAGUAACUAUGCACGUCUGGACGGUACCUAAUCAGAAAGCCACGGCUAACUACGU
This 496-nucleotide ribosomal RNA is filed under the name uncultured bacterium. RNAcentral describes it as "partial 16S ribosomal RNA". It matches the Rfam family "Bacterial small subunit ribosomal RNA", at positions 28 to 506 of the family's 1533-position model. The record is from RNAcentral.